AGAGUUUGAUCCUGGCUCAGGAUGAACGCUGGCGGCGUGCCUAACACAUACAAGUCGAGCGAAGCGCCUGGAAGUUUUCGGACGGAAGGGUGACUGAGCGGCGGACGGGUGAGUAACGCGUGGGUAACCUGCCUCAUACAGGGGAAUAACAGUUAGAAAUGACUGCUAAUGCCGCAUAAGCGCACGGGACCGCAUGGUUUUGUGUGAAAAACUGAGGUGGUAUGAGAUGGACCCGCGUCUGAUUAGCUGGUUGGCAGGGUAACGGCCUACCAAGGCGACGAUCAGUAGCCGGCCUGAGAGGGUGAUCGGCCACAUUGGGACUGAGACACGGCCCAAACUCCUACGGGAGGCAGCAGUGGGGAAUAUUGGGCAAUGGGCGGAAGCCUGACCCAGCAACGCCGCGUGGAGGAAGAAGGUUUUCGGAUCGUAAACUCCUGUCCUCAGGGAAGGGCAGAAGACGGUACCUGAGGAGGAAGCCCCGGCUAACUACGUGCCAGCAGCCGCGGUAAUACGUAGGGGGCAAGCGUUGUCCGGAAUGAUUGGGCGUAAAGGGCGCGUAGGCGGCCCGGUAAGUCUGGAGUGAAAGUCCUGCUUUUAAGGUGGGAAUUGCUCUGGAUACUGUCGGGCUUGAGUGCAGGAGAGGUAAGUGGAAUUCCCAGUGUAGCGGUGAAAUGCGUAGAGAUUGGGAGGAACACCAGUGGCGAAGGCGACUUACUGGACUGUAACUGACGCUGAGGCGCGAAAGUGUGGGGAGCAAACAGGAUUAGAUACCCUGGUAGUCCACACUGUAAACGAUGAAUGCUAGGGGUAGGGGG
RNAcentral lists this ribosomal RNA (815 nucleotides) under uncultured bacterium. Its description in RNAcentral is "bacterial SSU rRNA". It matches the Rfam family "Bacterial small subunit ribosomal RNA", at positions 8 to 829 of the family's 1533-position model. The record is from RNAcentral.